This 336-nucleotide unclassified non-coding RNA is filed under the name soil metagenome. RNAcentral's name for it is "partial contains 5.8S ribosomal RNA, internal transcribed spacer 2, and large subunit ribosomal RNA". The stretch from base 1 to 120 matches the Rfam family "5.8S ribosomal RNA", at positions 35 to 154 of the family's 154-position model. The record is from RNAcentral.
GAUGAAGAACGUAGUGAAAUGCGAUAAGUAGUGUGAAUUGCAGAAUUCAGUGAAUCAUCGAAUCUUUGAACGCACAUUGCGCCCCUUGGUAUUCCAUGGGGCAUGCCUGUUCGAGCGUCAUUUGUACCUUCAAGCUUUGCUUGGUGUUGGGUGUUUGUCUCGCCUCUGCGUGUAGACUCGCCUUAAAACAAUUGGCAGCCGGCGUAUUGAUUUCGGAGCGCAGUACAUCUCGCGCUUUGCACUCAUAACGACGACGUCCAAAAGUACAUUUUUACACUCUUGACCUCGGAUCAGGUAGGGAUACCCGCUGAACUUAAGCAUAUCAAUAGCGGAGGA